This 460-nucleotide unclassified non-coding RNA is filed under the name Ebenopsis confinis. RNAcentral's name for it is "partial external transcribed spacer". Lineage: Eukaryota; Viridiplantae; Streptophyta; Magnoliopsida; Fabales; Fabaceae. The record is from RNAcentral.
GGGGCGUGUGAGUGGUGUUUGGAUCGUCUCUGCCGGCUGGCUCCGUGCUCGUCCACCGAACGGUCGGCAGGCGAUCCGCGUCGGUUGUUGCAAGGCGGGAUGGUGCCUCAGAGGCUGGUUCUUGUGUCGCCUACCCCUUCAAGGGAAGCAGGCCUCAUGACGGUCGGCCUCCAUCCGGCGCCUUCCAACGGGCGCAGGAGGACAACGAAGCACCCCCCGUGUUCCACCGGGCCUUGAAGGGUCGAGUGGCCCACGGGGGCGUGCGAUGCUCUCGGACCCAGCUUGCGAUGCUCUCGCGGACGAGGACUCACGUCCCGGUCCCAAGAGAAGCUUAGACAUAUAACGAUGAAUGACGGCCGCUCCCUCGCCCCCCGGCCGCCUCGGCGGUGCGAGGGGGGGACGCGCGACGUCUCGGAGGACUGCUACCUGGUUGAUCCUGCCAGUAGUCAUAUGCUUGUCU